This 893-nucleotide ribosomal RNA is filed under the name Streptomyces sp. CS113. RNAcentral describes it as "bacterial LSU rRNA". It matches the Rfam family "Bacterial large subunit ribosomal RNA", at positions 591 to 1469 of the family's 2925-position model. Lineage: Bacteria; Bacillati; Actinomycetota; Actinomycetes; Kitasatosporales; Streptomycetaceae. The record is from RNAcentral.
UCGUGACUGCGUGCCUUUUGAAGAAUGAGCCUGCGAGUUUGCGGUGUGUUGCGAGGUUAACCCGGGUGGGGAAGCCGUAGCGAAAGCGAGUCCGAAUAGGGCGUUUUAGUAGCACGCUCAAGACCCGAAGCGGAGUGAUCUAGCCAUGGGCAGGUUGAAGCGGCUGUAAGAGGUCGUGGAGGACCGAACCCACCAGGGUUGAAAACCUGGGGGAUGACCUGUGGUUAGGGGUGAAAGGCCAAUCAAACUCCGUGAUAGCUGGUUCUCCCCGAAAUGCAUUUAGGUGCAGCGUCGUGUGUUUCUUGCCGGAGGUAGAGCACUGGAUAGGCGAUGGGCCCUACCGGGUUACUGACCUUAGCCAAACUCCGAAUGCCGGUAAGUGAGAGCGCGGCAGUGAGACUGUGGGGGAUAAGCUCCAUGGUCGAGAGGGAAACAGCCCAGAGCAUCGACUAAGGCCCCUAAGCGUACGCUAAGUGGGAAAGGAUGUGGAGUCGCACAGACAACCAGGAGGUUGGCUUAGAAGCAGCCACCCUUGAAAGAGUGCGUAAUAGCUCACUGGUCUAGUGAUUCCGCGCCGACAAUGUAGCGGGGCUCAAGCGUACCGCCGAAGUCGUGUCAUUGCAGCAAUACGGCCAACGCCGGCUGUGAUGGGUAGGGGAGCGUCGUGUGCCGGGUGAAGCAGCCGCGGAAGCGAGUUGUGGACGGUUCACGAGUGAGAAUGCAGGCAUGAGUAGCGAUACAAACGUGAGAAACGUUUGCGCCGAUUGACUAAGGGUUCCUGGGUCAAGCUGAUCUGCCCAGGGUAAGUCGGGACCUAAGGCGAGGCCGACAGGCGUAGUCGAUGGAUAACCGGUUGAUAUUCCGGUACCCGCUGUGAAGCGUCAAACAUCGAA